GGGCCACGGGUCAUUUGCUCAGUACGGCGAGUGAGCGGCAAAAGCUCAAAUUUGAAAUCUAGCACUUUCAGUGUUCGAGUUGUAAUUUGAAGAAGGUAACUUUGGUUUUGGCUCUUGUCUAUGUUCCUUGGAACAGGACGUCACAGAGGGUGAGAAUCCCGUGCGAUGAGAUGCCCAAUUCCAUGUAAAGUGCUUUCGAAGAGUCGAGUUGUUUGGGAAUGCAGCUCUAAGUGGGUGGUAAAUUCCAUCUAAAGCUAAAUAUUGGCGAGAGACCGAUAGCGAACAAGUACAGUGAUGGAAAGAUGAAAAGAACUUUGAAAAGAGAGUGAAAAAGUACGUGAAAUUGUUGAAAGGGAAGGGCUUGAGAUCAGACUUGGUAUUUUGCGUUCCCUUCCUUUUUGGUUGGGUUCCUCGCAAGUUUACUGGGCCAGCAUCGGUUUGGAUGGUAGGAUAAUGACAUUGGAAUGUAGCUUUACUUCGGUGAAGUGUUAUAGACUUUGGUUGAUACUGCCUUAUCUAAGACCGAGGGACUGCCCGUCUUUGACUAAGGAUGCGUGGCGUAAUGAAUCUUAAGCCGCCCGUCUAAACAAAGGGGGACCAAAAAAAAAAAAAAAAAAUUAAAAAAAAAAAAAAAAAAAAAAAAAAAAAAAAAAAAAAAAAAAAAAAAAAAAAAAAAAAAAAAAAAA
Molecule: ribosomal RNA, 686 nt
Filed under: Dujonia zeylanoides
Lineage: Eukaryota; Fungi; Ascomycota; Pichiomycetes; Serinales; Debaryomycetaceae
Description: [Candida] zeylanoides partial large subunit ribosomal RNA
Rfam family: Eukaryotic large subunit ribosomal RNA (bases 1-594)
Source: RNAcentral